This 74-nucleotide transfer RNA is filed under the name Candidatus Omnitrophota bacterium. Its description in RNAcentral is "Candidatus Omnitrophica bacterium (sediment metagenome) tRNA-Ile". It matches the Rfam family "tRNA". Rfam says of the family: Transfer RNA (tRNA) molecules are approximately 80 nucleotides in length. Lineage: Bacteria; Pseudomonadati; Candidatus Omnitrophota. The record is from RNAcentral.
GGGCCUGUAGCUCAGUCGGUUAGAGCAGGAGACUCAUAAUCUCUUGGUCCCUGGUUCAAGUCCAGGCGGGCCCA